GGAGGAGUCGGAUAGUGGUCCAUUCCACACGCUUGGAAAGCGUGCAGGCGCAAGCCUACGUGGGUUCGAAUCCCACCUCCUCCGCAA
This 87-nucleotide transfer RNA is filed under the name Candidatus Collierbacteria bacterium. Its description in RNAcentral is "tRNA-Ser". It matches the Rfam family "tRNA". From Rfam's summary of the family: Transfer RNA (tRNA) molecules are approximately 80 nucleotides in length. Their secondary structure includes four short double-helical elements and three loops (D, anti-codon, and T loops). Lineage: Bacteria; Candidatus Collieribacteriota. The record is from RNAcentral.